Long non-coding RNA from Acanthochromis polyacanthus (spiny chromis), 1154 nucleotides. RefSeq lists it as uncharacterized. The transcript is spliced from 3 exons. The record is from RefSeq and is a predicted model, not a curated record. Lineage: Eukaryota; Metazoa; Chordata; Actinopteri; Pomacentridae.
AGUUCCAGAUGUUUUUACUUUAAGAGGCUUUUUAGAUCUAAUUAUAUACACUUUUUCUAUGUUUUGUAGAGUCCUAUUUGUUUCAUUUUAGACAAUAUUUUUACAAAAUAUUUUCUUUCUUGAAUUUGGAAUUUUAUGCUUUUUUUUAUCUUACUAAAAAUGUAUUUAUGAAUUAAAAUAUAUUGCAUUUUGUGUGUGUUUUGGGGUGUUCGAUGUUUCCUAACUUGAUCAUCUGUCCCAGAUCAUCAUCGUUCAGAGAUUUGUAUGUGCAGGGGGACAUUUUUAAAUUAUACAGUACAUGUUUUAGAAGAUCUUAAACAAAACACAGCAAAUAGGAAAACAUAGUGGGAGUGUGUCUUUCUCACUCUGAGGGUUUCUCUCUUUCUGUGUGUCUUUCAUGGAUGUGAAUGUUUAGUUUCUCCUGCAUCAGUCCGGCUGCAGAAGACACGAUGAAGAAGAUGUACAUUCUUGUCCUCCUGCUGCUCCUCCUCAGUCCUGGAUGUGGGAAUGGGCUGAAUUAUAUACUUUACACUGGCAGUAAUAUGAUGAGCUGGGCUGAAGCACAGGACUUCUGCAGGACCCACCACACUGACCUGGUCACAAUCAGAGACGCAACUGAGAAUGAGAACUAUUACUGGGGAGUAGGCUGGAUUGGACUGUACCGAGAGGAUGCAACAAGUCCAUGGAAAUGGUCCAGAAGAGACAAGAUAGCCACCUUCACCAACUGGGAACAAGAUCCACUCCCAAAUGAAAACUGUGCUUUCAAGGCAAAAGGUUCAGAAAAAUGGAAAACCCAUGGAUGUAAUGUCAAUCAUUCCUUCAUGUGUUCUGAUGAGAAGAUGUUCCUGGUGAAGGAGAGGAAGACAUGGGAGGAGGCCUUAGAGUACUGCAGGUCUCUGGAGGCUGUGGACCCAAAUGAGGCAACCGCUCCUUACCAGAACCACCUCUAUGACCUGGCCACCCUGAUCACUCCGGAAGACCACGCUCUCGCUCAAGAGAUAGCACAAGAAGCUACCACUAGAGAGGUGUGGACCGGUCUGCGUUACCUGGCCGAUCAGUGGGUGUGGGUGAGCGGAGAACCGGUGACGUAUGAGACGAUUCCAAACUGUCCGGGUUCCAAGUCCUGUGGUGUCAUGGAAAAGAAUGGAAACGCA